GGGAGCCUGAGAAACGGCUACCACAUCCAAGGAAG
Molecule: ribosomal RNA, 35 nt
Filed under: Pelobates cultripes (western spadefoot toad)
Lineage: Eukaryota; Metazoa; Chordata; Amphibia; Anura; Pelobatidae
Description: SSU_rRNA_eukarya
Source: RNAcentral